UUCACAGCCCUUGAGACUGAGCCUUUGGUUAUCCUCAGAACAAGUACAGCACUAGCAGAAAGCCAAGCUUCCCUACCCUGUCCCACCAAUGUGCAUGCCUCAGCCCUGUUGAGGGAGUAGUUCAGCCUCUAUACCCAUUCAAGCCUUGUCUUCC
This 154-nucleotide small RNA is filed under the name Gopherus agassizii (Agassiz's desert tortoise). RNAcentral describes it as "TUC338 (ENSGAGG00000014160.1)". Lineage: Eukaryota; Metazoa; Chordata; Testudines; Testudinidae. The record is from RNAcentral.